GUCGUCUAAUAGGUGCCCUUCACUAACCAAGUUACUCACACAGCUGAAGCGGAAACUCACGACACGUUUCAAUCUUCUAUUGUAGAAGAAAAAGUGGUAAGACCAUAUGGCUCCUUUCUCGAGAAAUGGAUCUGCAUCUGCCUCCGGAUUGUAAGUGUAGAGUUCACAUUCAGCAACUUUUACAACCUCAUCUAAAGCCUUGUACAAGGUUUCAAGCAGAGCACUGCCUUCAUUUGCGUCAAGCCAUUCCUUUGAAGCCUCAAACAUGUAGACAUCAAAUAUCUGCUUAAAACUGUCCCAGCUCUCUUCAGUGAAAAACUGGUGAGCAUUCACUGCACUG
This 340-nucleotide unclassified non-coding RNA is filed under the name Hevea brasiliensis (rubber tree). The record is from RNAcentral. Lineage: Eukaryota; Viridiplantae; Streptophyta; Magnoliopsida; Malpighiales; Euphorbiaceae.